This 207-nucleotide ribosomal RNA is filed under the name uncultured delta proteobacterium. Its description in RNAcentral is "partial 16S ribosomal RNA". It matches the Rfam family "Bacterial small subunit ribosomal RNA", at positions 568 to 774 of the family's 1533-position model. The record is from RNAcentral. Lineage: Bacteria; Deltaproteobacteria.
CGUGUAGGCGGCUUGGUAAGUCGGGUGUGAAAUCCCUCAGCUCAACUGAGGAAGUGCGCCCGAAACUGCUUUGCUUGAGUGCCGGAGAGGAUGGCGGAAUUCCCCAAGUAGAGGUGAAAUUCGUAGAUAUGGGGAGGAACACCGGUGGCGAAGGCGGCCAUCUGGACGGUAACUGACGCUGAGACGCGAAAGCGUGGGUAGCAAACA